CUACACUUGUUGUAUUCGGCGCAUGUGACAAAUAAAGUUUGAUUUGAUGUCAAAGUGUGUCAAAUAAGUUGAAAGCACCAUUUGUGGGUGUACCUAACCUUGACAACAGAGAAAGAGCUGGGAAUGGAUCAACGGUCCACCAAUCAGGGCCUUGAUGGGCUUGGCAACAUUAACAAAGGGUGAUGUGUUCAGGUUGGAAUGUUCUUGCAAUGUCACAUGAAAGGUGUCUAGAACAUAAAUAUCUUUAUUCUGAGGACAUGGCAACCAUGUUCUGUUAUGUUUGGUGUGACGUUGAUGGAAUAUUCUCCUUACUCUCAGAACACUGGACACAUGAAUGUUCUUGCAAUGUCCCAUUAAACAUGUCUAGAAUAUUAAUAUUGAAUGUUCUCCUAACUCCAAUGACAAAACAUGCUAAAUGGGUUCUCAGGAGGUUUUUGCUAACAUACAUAGAAUGUUCUCCUAACUAACAGAAAAUUGGACACUCAAACAUCAGGGGAACAUUACAAAAACAUUAUCUCUCCCUAGAAUUGUUAGUUGGGCCAAAACUAAAAUCUUGCUUAUGUUUAAGUAGUCUGUCCACGAGAGAUUAGAUUUCUACUAAUACGACUCGGUGCUUCCAAUGGCAAUGUCCGCGAUAGGAAUAAUGUCAGGAGCCGCUAGUGGAUUUGACAGUUCCAACGCAGUUACACCUCCGACACCACCCUAACAAAAUACAUUAUAUACUAUGAAGUUGUUGGUUUUUGCUGAACUGACUGAAUCUAGGCCUUACAGUAAUGAAACAACUGCCCCUGGCAAAAGUCCCCUCUAAACCAUCUGAACAAGAUGUGUUUGUGUUCAGUCACCAACCGGUCAACGAGACUGUGUGUAUGUGUCGGUGUGUGUGUAUGUGUCGGUGUGUGUGUAUGUGUCGGUGUCGGUGUCUGUGCGUGUCUUUGUUGAGGGGAUAUUAAUGUAGUAAAUAAUCGCUCUAAUAUUUAAUGAAUGCACACACACACACACACACACACACACACACACACACAACACUGAUUUCAUCCACAGAGGGUAGAAUGUGAUUACACAGGAGGCUUGAUCAUUUAAAAGCAUGUUAACAACCUGCUACAGAAUUACCAUCUCAUUAAGACCCACUCAGCAGGGCUAUCAGCACACACACACACACACUCAGCAGGGCUAUCAACGCGCGCACACACACACACGCACACGCACACAAAGACAUUGACGUACUGUGGGAAGAAAGAUGACAUUUAGCAUUAAUUUGAAGGUGUACGUUUUCCAUGAAACAGAUAGUACCUCUGGUUCCACUAAAGAGUUUUGUGUGAAAGUGUAUUAGAACCAUGUGGAGAAAUGACCGGUCAACAUUCUGUCGCCACCAUAUAAGUCUCCAUUCUGGAAUGUAAGCAUGGCUUUUCUGUUCUGUUCUAGAACCCUGGCCAAGCUCAUUCACAAUCUCAAUGCAUAAGACAUUGCUCCCUUCACAAAUCAAUUGAGGGCACUAUAUAGGGAAUAGGGUUACAUUUUGGAAGCAUCCCAUGUUUUCUCUGGUCUACAAAAGUGAACCACGGUCCAUAUACCGUAGAUGAGAGGGAUACAGGUAGGGGUGUAUGAGCUGACAGUGUGUAAACACUAGCUAACUGAGAGCUGUUGCCAGCCUGUAGUUGGGGAUAAGGAAGAGGGCAUCUAUAGUGUGUCUUAUUGACAAUUUAUGCAUCUCAAAUGGCACCCUAUUCCCCAUAUGGCUUACUACCUUUACUUAAAGGGGAAUUGGGCUCUGGUCAAAUGCAGUGCACAAUAUGUGGAAUUGGGCUCGGGUCAAAGUAAUGCACUAUAUAGGGAAUAGGGUGUCAUUUGGAGAAUUUGGGAAGGUCUCAACUGCAUACUCCUCGCAUACUCUCUCCUCAUUUCCUUCUCAAACCCAUUGGAUGAGAAAGCCAGAGGUCCCUCCACUCUGACCUCCAAUGGGUUUUGAGAAGAAGACAAGGCGAGAAGAGAGAAGAUGCAAGGAGUAUACAAUUGUCCCAUAAGGACAAUACAGAAAGGUCAGAGCUGUGUACCACUGUGGGUACUCUACAGGGGUGUUGAGACUGACCUAGACUUUAAUGUUUUACUCUACAAUCGCCUCAUGCACCACAAAGUCUGUUGCCUAGGUAACAGCUAGAAGUGCAUUCAGUGUUGCACUUCAAAACCAUUAUUCAUUUCACAUACAGUACCAGUCAAAAGUUUGGACACUCCUACUCAUUCAAGUGUUUUUCAUUAUUUUUACUAUUUUCUACAUUGUAGAAUAAUAGUGAAGACAUCAAAACUAUGAAAUAACACAUAUGGAAUCAUGUAGUAACCAAAAAAGUGUUAAACAAAUCAAAUAUCAUAUUUUAUAUUUGAGAUUCUUCAAAGUAGCCACCCUUUGCCUUGAUGAGAGCUUUGCACACUCUUGGCAUUCUCUCAACCAGCUUCAUGAGGUAGUCAACUGGAAUGCAUUUCAAUUAACAGGUGUGCCUUGUUAAAAGUUAAUUUGUGGAAUUUAUUCCAAUCUUAAUGCGUUUGAGCCAAUCAGUUGUGUUGUGACAAGGUAGGGGUGGUAUACAGAAGAUAGCACUAUUUGGUAAAAGACCAAGUCCAUAUUAUGGCAGGAACAGCUCAAAUAAGCAAAGAGAAAUGACAGUACAUAACUUUAAGACAUGAAGGUCAGUCAAUGCGGAACAUUUCAAGAACUUUGAACGUUUCUUCAAGUGCAGUCGCAAAAACCAUCAAUCGCUAUGAUGAAACUGGCUUUCAUGAGGACCGCCACAGGAAAGAAAGCCCCAGAGUUACCUCUGCUGCAGAGGAUAUGUUCAUUAGAGCUACCAGCCUCAGAAAUAGCAGCCCCAAUAAAAGCUUCAGAGUUUAACAGACACAUCUCAACAUCAACUGUUCAGAGGAGACUGCAUGAAUCAGGUCUUCAUGGUUAAAUUGCUGCAAAGAAACUUGCUUGGGCCAAGAAACACGAGCAAUGGACAAUCUGUUGUUUUGGUCUUAUGAGUCCAAAUUUGAGAUUUUUGGUUCCAACCGCCGUGUCUUUGUGAGACACAGAGUAGGUGAACAGAUGUUCCCACCGUGAAGCAUGGAGGACGAGGUGUGUGGGUGCUUUGCUGGUGACACUGUCUGUGAUUUAUUUAGAAUUCAAGGCACACUUAACCAGCAUGGCUACCACAGCAUUCAGCAGCGAUACGCCAUCCCAUCCUUUUUGUGCUUAGUGGGAUUCCUCAUUUGUUUUUCAACAGGACAAUGACCCAACACACCUCCAGGCUGUGUAAGGGCUAUUUGACCAAGAAGGAGAGUGAUGGAGUGCUGCAUCAGAUGACCUGGCCUCCACAAUCACCCGACCUCAACCCAAUUGAGAUCAAAUCAAAUUGUAUUUGUCACGUGCCAAAUACAACAGAUGUAGUAGACCUUACAGUGAAAUGCUUACUUACAAGCCCUUAACCAACAAUGCUGUUUUAAGAAAAUACCUAAAACAAGAAAUAAAACAAACAAAUAAUUACAUAACAGUAAGAUAACAAUAGGGAGGCUAUAUACAGGAGGUACUGGUACAGAUGGUUUGGGAUGAGUGUUCAACAUAUGUGGGAACUCCUUCAAGACUGUUGGAAAAGCAUUCCAGGUGAAGCUGGGUGAGAGAAUGCCAAGAGUGUGCAAAGCUGUCAUCAAGGCAAAGGGUGGCUACUUUGAAGAAUCUAAAAUCUAAAAUAUAUUUUGAUUUGUUUAACAUUUUUUUUUACGACCUGAUUCCAUAUGUAU
Molecule: long non-coding RNA, 3768 nt
Filed under: Salmo salar (Atlantic salmon)
Lineage: Eukaryota; Metazoa; Chordata; Actinopteri; Salmoniformes; Salmonidae
Description: lncRNA (ENSSSAG00000097764.1)
Source: RNAcentral